ACAAUCAGGUUGUAGGUGCAGUACGGUAAAGCUGCUACAGCAACAUUUUGACAGAUCGUUUGGCCAAUCAGCAUUCAGCAUCAUCACCGCCGGCUCGCACCAGCACAACACAAAAAUAUAAAUAAAAUCAGUAAAACUGAAAACGGGUGAUAUCGAGCAUAUUAUUGCGACUGUUCUACUUGUUCAGUGAAAUAAAAACGCGGCGGAUGUAUCAUUCUGUCGCUGGAGGCCACCACCAAGGAAAAGCCUGAAAAUUUCGCAGGAGGAAAUCAGAUUGAUGAAUAAAGUAUUUACCUUCUGGAGCUCAAACUCAACGAAUGAGAGGAGAAAAAUACGGUCACACAGGAGCUCAAAAAAGUGCUGCAAAAAUUGCCCGAGGAACGGUUUAACAUCCAAUCGCGUAGUGGCCAUGAGGAAGUUUCCCGAAAAAACAAAAAAUAUUCAGCCCCAAGAGACUGACCUCAGAGCCGUGGAAGAUGGUUUAACAAUCACCUGUAACGUGCGACAUGCGGACAAGAGAACGGGCUCUAAUCAGACCGACGGCACAAUCGCAGAUUUCAAGGAAAAAAAUCACGCUACUGGGAUAUCGGAUUGGAUAUCCCGUUAGAUAAAAAGGACGCCAAUCCCUGCUCGAUGACUAUCUGUUGUGGGCUGUGGCGGUUCAAGAGCAGCCCCCUUCCGGUUCCGAAUAAUAGCUGCGGAAGUUACAGUGCCUUCGUAGAGACCAAAAACCAUCAGUCGGACCCGAGCUACAGAUUUCACGAAAUGGGAUUCUUCGAUGCAGGAUCGAUUUCGGUUGAUAGACAACUGCUGCUAUAUUACAUCAGACUAUAGUUCGAACGCUAGCAGAGACAAAAAAUGAUUUUUGUUACACUUUUACUUUAGCGGUUUAUGAAAAUAGUCAAUAAAAUUAUUUUACGAUUCAAACAAUGUACCGAUUAAUCUAAAUGCAUAUCUAUACGUCAUUGCUCCACUUUUCGAUGAACCUACCAUUUCUGCACUUCGUUCAUUAGAUGGCGAUCAGAAUACCCCUUUUUAAGACGGAUAAAAAUGGACAACGUGUCUACGAAGUCUUCCAUGGAAA
Aedes albopictus (Asian tiger mosquito) is the source of this 1084-nucleotide long non-coding RNA. RefSeq lists it as uncharacterized. The transcript is spliced from 2 exons. The record is from RefSeq and is a predicted model, not a curated record. NCBI's taxonomy places the organism in Eukaryota, Metazoa, Arthropoda, Insecta, Diptera, Culicidae.